Molecule: ribosomal RNA, 253 nt
Filed under: uncultured bacterium
Lineage: Bacteria
Description: partial 16S ribosomal RNA
Rfam family: Bacterial small subunit ribosomal RNA
Source: RNAcentral
UACGAAGGGGGCUAGCGUUGCUCGGAAUCACUGGGCGUAAAGCGCAUGUAGGCGGCUUUUUAAGUCAGGGGUGAAAUCCUGGAGCUCAACUCCAGAACUGCCUUUGAUACUGAGAAGCUUGAGUCCGGGAGAGGUGAGUGGAACUGCGAGUGUAGAGGUGAAAUUCGUAGAUAUUCGGAGGAACACCAGAAGCGAAGGCGGCUCACUGGCCCGAUACUGACGCUGAGGCGCGAAAGCGUGGGGAGCAAACAGG